CACUACAGAUAAAGGGCAUGUAUGCAUGAUCUAUAAAGAACUUCUCAAACUCAACACCCAAAAAAAUGAAUCUGGUUAGCUUCUUAAAGGAAUCUAUGGUUAGUACACAGCUAGGCACAAGAUUGGACAGCUUUGAGAACUGACAAGAAUUUCUGCACCUAGCCAAACUAUGGAAAGAACCUAGAU
Long non-coding RNA from Neogale vison (American mink), 186 nucleotides. RefSeq lists it as uncharacterized. Lineage: Eukaryota; Metazoa; Chordata; Mammalia; Carnivora; Mustelidae. The transcript is spliced from 3 exons. The record is from RefSeq and is a predicted model, not a curated record.